GACGAACGCUGGCGGCGUGCUUAACACAUGCAAGUCGAACGGAAAGGCCCUGCUUUUGUGGGGUGCUCGAGUGGCGAACGGGUGAGUAACACGUGAGUAACCUGCCCUUGACUUUGGGAUAACUUCAGGAAACUGGGGCUAAUAACGGAUAGGAGCUCCUGCUGCAUGGUGGGGGUUGGAAAUUUUCGGCGGUUGGGGAUGGACUCGCGGCUUAUCAGCUUGUUGGUGGGGGAGUGGCUUACCAAGGCGUUGACGGGUAGCCGGCCUGAGAGGGUGACCGGCCACACUGGGACUGAGAUACGGCCCAGACUCCUACGGGAGGCAGCAGUGGGGAAUAUUGCACAAUGGGCGGAAGCCUGAUGCAGCGACGCCGCGUGCGGGAUGACGGCCUUCGGGUUGUAAACCGCUUUCGCCUGUGACGAAGCGUGAGUGACGGUAAUGGGUAAAGAAGCACCGGCUAACUACGUG
This 468-nucleotide ribosomal RNA is filed under the name uncultured bacterium. RNAcentral's name for it is "partial 16S ribosomal RNA". It matches the Rfam family "Bacterial small subunit ribosomal RNA", at positions 28 to 507 of the family's 1533-position model. The record is from RNAcentral.